Molecule: ribosomal RNA, 254 nt
Filed under: uncultured bacterium
Lineage: Bacteria
Description: partial 16S ribosomal RNA
Rfam family: Bacterial small subunit ribosomal RNA
Source: RNAcentral
UACGUAGGGGGCGAGCGUUGUCCGGAUUCAUUGGGCGUAAAGAGCUCGUAGGCGGUUCAGUAAGUCGGGUGUGAAAUCUCCGUGCUCAACACGGAGCGGCCACCUGAUACUGCUGUGACUCGAGUCCGGUAGGGGAGUGUGGAAUUCCCGGUGUAGCGGUAAAAUGCGCAGAUAUCGGGAGGAACACCAGUAGCGAAGGCGGCACUCUGGGCCGUGACUGACGCUGAGGAGCGAAAGCGUGGGUAGCAAACAGG